CAUCUGUACUGGGUAUAAAGGGCCAUACAGUGCAUCUAUCUAAGUCUUGCAGGACCACCUCCACUCUAGCUGGAAGGGCUUAUUCAGCGGAUGGCCAGGUUGGCUCAGUACUUCACACAAAGCCAAAUGUCUCCGCAUGAUGGAUGAGUCCAGCUCAAGUUCUGAUGCCUUUAAGGAACUGUGCACAGUGAUGGACCUGGCUCUGCAUGCUACAAUGGCCCAUGCGCAGGAAUUUUUUGGCCCUGCCAUGGAUGGAUUCGCUGAGUGCUUCACAGCGGCACAGAAGUCAUUGCAAGCCAUCCAUAACUUCCUGCCAAAGCGCUCCAGCUCAAUGGCUGAUUCAAGUUGCCAGAAGGAUCCAUCCUCUCAAAAGCCUGCGAAGUCUAUGCAGUUUCUGUCCCAUCCUCAGGCUAAGUCUAAGCCUGGUCUUCAGCAGCACCCUCAGACAGCCAAACGACACCUGUUUCCCAAGUUCCAGGGACCCUGCCCUAGAGUGACAUUGGACCCUGAGCUGCAGAAGCUAUCCUGAUCUUAGAGAGAGUAAGACAAAAAGGCAAGACUCCUCCAGUGACUCCCACAAAAGCAACAGCUCCAAGAACACCUCGCAGAAACGCAGGACCUGCUGCUGCUCCUGCUGCCCCAACUGCUGCAAAUGCUCCUCCUGCUGCCUCGACUGCUGCAGCUGUUCCCCCUGCUGCACCAACUGCUGCAGCUGCUCCCCCUGCUGCCUCAACUGCUGCAGCUGCUCCCCCUGCUGCCUCAACUGCUGCAGCUUCUCCUCCUGUAUCCGCAGCCUCUCCUCCUGUAUCCGCAGCUGCUCCUCCUGCUGUAGUGGCUCCUCUUGCUGCAGCUGCUCCCCCUGCUGCACUUGCUGCUCCUGCUGCAAUUGCUCCUCCUGCUGCAAUUGCUCCUCCUGCUGCAAGUGCUCCUCUUGCUGCAAGUGCUCCUCUUGCUGCAGCUGCCUCAAAUGCUGCUGCUGCUCCUCCUGCUGCCACCGUAGAAAAUAGAAAAUCGCAACUUUUCAUUUUACGACGGUUAAUGCACAAUGUAACUACAGAAGUGUCAAGUUUUAAAUAGCAAAAAUAUUGAAACUCUUUGGUCAUUUUUGAGCGAGAUGCUAACAGUCUAAUCUGAUUCAAUGAUCUAUGCUAAGCUAAGCUAAAAGUGCUACCGCCAGACCCAGAGAUCGGCUAAAUGGAUUCGAAAAUGGUAAAACUCAACUGUUUAACUGUUUAAAGGGGAGUUGGAAAAUGAGCCUAUUUUCAAAAAUAGUAGAGUGUUCCUUUAAUGAGAUAAUUAGUUAAUAAAUUGAGUGACAACUGGCAUUAAUAAAAAAUGUAUAUAAAAUAACAUUUGCUGCCAACAUGCUGAAUCACGGAACGAAAGAGAAACAAGAACUACAACUGACUUCAGUCACUGCCUUAAAUGAAAUCAGCUGAAAUAAAAAACAUUAAAUCUCUCAAGAUCUGAUUAAACAACUUCACAAAAAGAAUUUAUUUUUAACCCUCUGAGUGAGGAUUAUAUAAACCCAGGAAUUGUUAAUUUAACACUGGGGGUUUUACUGUACAGAAAAGCACCAGUCCGCAUCGCUGGUGUUCCAGAUUUUAUUUUAUUUGAUUUUUUUUCACAAAACAAAUCCUUUUGCUUUUUCUUGCUUCCCUUCUGGAGACAAAUUGUCCACAAUUUUUCAACUCCUCUUGAAUUUCUUUUUCCAUAUUUUGAAGAAGCUAUUUUUUGUGGCAGCUGAUCUCUUUCACCAUUUUGUCAAUGGUGUCCAGCAGUUUUUCACCUGAACACUGUUUCUCUUGAAACCCCACCAGUAGUUUUUCCAGUGUUUGUUGUCAAUGACAUGACAGCAACCUCCACAUUUAUUGACAAGCUCUGUUUAUUUGGAUUUAGCCUUAACAAAUCCUUCCAUGGUCUGUCCUUCUAGUUGCUCACCAUGAAUGAAUAAGAUCACUGUGUGUUUCAGGACAUGUUUCUCUGUCAUUGUGUUCCGGAAUUGCUGAACACCUCAUUUUCAUGUUUUGUGUAUCUUCCAACAUUCAGAAAAAUGUCAAAGGCAUGAACAGCGGGAGCAAAUUCAAUGAGAGAUUUUAUGAUCUCAUUUUAUCUCCUUAUAAUCACAAUCUGUGUCAAAGAAUCCUGGUGUGUCAAUAAUUGUGAUGUUUCUUCCAUCCACCAUUCCAUCAAUUGUACAGCUGUAACAGAAUUAGCUGACGCUAUUGGGACGAAUACUUAUUUUCUAAGAAUUGUAUUCCCUGCACUGCUUUUGCCAUCUCCUGUUUUUCCAAUAAGGGUGAUCUUCCUCUCUGAAAAAAAGAAAAUUAAUAAUAAUAAUAAUAAUAAUUUAUUUUUAUUAUUAUUAUUAUUAUUAUUAUUAUUAUUAUUAUUAUUAUUAUUAUUAUUAUUAUUAUUAUUAUUGUUGUUGUUGUUGUUGCUGUUAAUACUUGUCAAUCAUCUAAAAAAAUAACAAAUUCUAUAACUAUAACUCUAUAACUAAUCACACAUUUUCUGAAAUUAAUAGUGAUUUAUCACACCUAACAUUAAAGUUUUAAUGUAUUUUAUAUACUUUCACAUUUAAUGUAGAACAAUGUAAAGACAGUAUACACUCUUAAAACUAACUCUGAGUGUGAGUUCUGAGUGUGCUCAGGGACAACACAUAUUAUUUAAUUCAAUACAGACAAACAGACAAAAGUGUUACCUUAGGAAACGCAUUAAUGUUACCUUUUUGUAUACAUCUAACACAACUGUGUAUUAUGUACUUGUACUUUAUAUAUUCUUUUUUUGUAAAUGUGAUUAUACUUUGAAAAUGUUAAUGAUACUAUUGGUCCCCCCUAUAAUAGUUAUUUUGGUUUCUCCCAUUUCUACUGAGCAAUUGAUUAUAUCUACACCUGUGACUAAUUUUGUACCUAACACACUCUGAGGAAGGCUGGAUGGCCGAAAUGCAUUAGUGUGCAGUGUUUUAGUCAUAUUUUAAUGUUCCUAGAGUGAGCCAUGUUUGAAUAAAGGCUUUUUAACAUUUUGGUACUGGAGGAAGUGCCUUGUAUCCGUAGUUUCUAUAGAUACAACUGUGUAUUACUAAGUGAUUAUUUACAGUUUUAAUAUAAAAUAUUAUUUAAAAUGGUAGAUCAGAAUACACUUUUAUCUUAAAAUCACACUGAAGCAUUAACAUGGAAUUAAUAUUAUUAAUAAUAUACACAUUAACAAUUGUUUUGAGUGACAUAUUGCUGAUCACAAAAUGAUACAAUAUCUAAUGAACAAUAACCCAUAAAGUCACCAGUCAAAUUCUUUGGUUUUGAUGA
Molecule: long non-coding RNA, 3305 nt
Organism: Cyprinus carpio carpio
Lineage: Eukaryota; Metazoa; Chordata; Actinopteri; Cypriniformes; Cyprinidae
Source: Ensembl